Small nuclear RNA from Sapajus apella (tufted capuchin), 107 nucleotides. The record is from RefSeq and is a predicted model, not a curated record. NCBI's taxonomy places the organism in Eukaryota, Metazoa, Chordata, Mammalia, Primates, Cebidae.
GUGCUUGCUUUGGCAGCACAUACACUAAAAUUGGAACGAUACAGAGAAGAUUAGUGUGGCCCCUGCGCAACGACUACACGCAAAUUCGUGAAGCGUUCCGUGUUUAA